UCUCCGUUGGUGAACCAGCGGAGGGAUCAUUACAGGACUCACAAGACUCCUACACCCCUGUGAACUUAACUAUAAGCACGUUGCUUCGGCGGGUGUCUCGGAGUUGGUUCUCCCUCCCCGCGACGCUCAACCCGCCGGCAGCCUACUAUACUCUGUCUCUUUGCGUUGGCAUCUCGAGUACAAUCAAACAAGUUAAAACUUUCAACAACGGAUCUCUUGGUUCUG
RNAcentral lists this unclassified non-coding RNA (225 nucleotides) under plant metagenome. RNAcentral's name for it is "partial contains small subunit ribosomal RNA, internal transcribed spacer 1, and 5.8S ribosomal RNA". The record is from RNAcentral.